GUGGUUGUGGUUCAGUGGUAGAAUGCUCGCCUAGCAUGUGUGAGGCACUGGGUUUGAUGCUCAGCACCACA
Molecule: transfer RNA, 71 nt
Filed under: Ictidomys tridecemlineatus (thirteen-lined ground squirrel)
Lineage: Eukaryota; Metazoa; Chordata; Mammalia; Rodentia; Sciuridae
Description: Spermophilus tridecemlineatus (thirteen-lined ground squirrel) tRNA
Source: Rfam by way of RNAcentral